GCAUAUCAAUAAGCGGAGGAAAAGAAACCAACAGGGAUUGCCUUAGUAACGGCGAGUGAAGCGGCAACAGCUCAAAUUUGAAAUCUGGCUUCGGCCCGAGUUGUAAUUUGCAGAGGAUGUUUAUGGUGCGGUACCUUCCGAGUUCCCUGGAACGGGACGCCACAGAGGGUGAGAGCCCCGUCUGGUUGGAUACCAAGCCUGUGUUAAACUCCUUCAACGAGUCGAGUAGUUUGGGAAUGCUGCUCUAAAUGGGAGGUAAAUCUCUUCUAAAGCUAAAUAUUGGCCAGAGACCGAUAGCGCACAAGUAGAGUGAUCGAAAGAUGAAAAGCACCUUGAAAAGGGGGUUAAACAGUACGUGAAAUUGUUGAAAGGGAAGCGUUUAUGACCAGACUUGUGCCGUGUGGCUCAUCCGAGGUUCUCCCCGGUGCACUCCACACGGCUCAGGCCAACAUCGGUUUUCGCUGGGGGAUAAGAACAGUAGGAACGUAGCUCCCCUCGGGGAGUGUUAUAGCCUAUUGUACGAUACCCUGGCGGGGACCGAGGACCGCGCUUCGGCUAGGAUGUUGGCGUAAUGGUCAUUAGCGACCCGUCUUGAAACACGGACC
RNAcentral lists this ribosomal RNA (605 nucleotides) under Gnomoniaceae sp. JCM 28401. RNAcentral's name for it is "eukaryotic LSU rRNA". It matches the Rfam family "Eukaryotic large subunit ribosomal RNA", at positions 38 to 667 of the family's 3401-position model. The record is from RNAcentral. Lineage: Eukaryota; Fungi; Ascomycota; Sordariomycetes; Diaporthales; Gnomoniaceae.